CUCAUAGAAAAAUCUGGUGCGCAUUUAUCCUUUCAGCUCGCUCGGCCGUCUCCCUCAUCCUCUUCCAUGGCUCGCCACGCGCCCUAGCGUCUGCGCCCGGCCUGAGCUCCUAGCGUUGCGGCUCUUUCCCGGCUUCUUCCUCCCAUGCAGCUCGCCCGUGGCCAUCGCUCCGCCAUGCCCAGCACCUUGCCCUCGGCGUCGGUCAUCCUUGUCGGGCGCAUGAUCCUGCUCGGCCAUGGAUGUUGUGUUGUCGGCCCGACUUUCUCCAUCUCCCUGCUCGUUCCCCUGGUGCGCAGGGCAUCCUCCCCUCUACCUCCUCCAGCGCUCGGAUCUAGCCACCGUUUUCUGGCCGUGGCGAGCAUGUACCCAUCAGCUCCGACCUCGCCUGUGGUCGAGUCACCUGCCUCCACUCAUCCGCGCCCUCGGCAAUGUUGGGCAGUCUCGGACGCCUGGGUCCUUGGCCAUGCGCCCUUCUAUUUCACGCUUUCCCCAUUCGGUGCCUCGGCUCGCCCUCGCGCGUCCAUCUUUGGGCGCAAUCUGCUCUAGCUCGUGGACGCCGUGUCCUGGCUCUGGUCGCUGGAUGCCGCACCUCGCCUGUGCUGGCCGUCAUCACGUAUAGGCCUGGACACCACCUCUACCUACACGAGCUCAAUCGGAUCCCCAUCGUCGCGAAUUCGCUGUCGAUUUAGCAGCUGCGCCAGUUGGUCGCCUCGGUGCGAAUUCGCCGUAGCAUCCAGGAUUUUGGCAGGUCUCCCCGCUCACCGUCAUCCCAAGCGUCGCAUCGGACUUACCAUGUAUGUAUGAUGUUCACCAAAUGCUCGACAAAAAGCUUGAACGAGUCGUACUGCCAUCGUCUUCGUCGCGCUGGCACGUCGAUGUCGUCAUUUGCCUUCGCACUGUUGUCGGUCGGCAACCUCGCUGUCGUCGCGUUCGCUCCGACUCUGCCUCUACGUGCUCGCCUUCGAUCACCGCUGCAAUUUUAGAAGUUUGAGUGAAGAAGUGGAACUCGCGGGGCGCUUGCCCGGAACUCGACAGGAGGCAUGAACAAGAAUCAGCAACGUUUGCUUGGAAUUCUAAUUGAAUCGGUACGAUAAUUAAUCACGUGAUGCGGAAGACGACCCAAGUCGACCCCAAGAUAAUGCAGAGAUUGGACAUCUCCGCAAGACUAUGUCGUCAGUCGGACCAACCUGAAGAUGGAUAAUCUGAACGAAUGCCAAGACAAAGGCUGGUCGCCAAGUGGACGUCAACUAAUAAACACUAAUCUAGUGUUAUUCCAGGCAAGCCCCGGUGCAUUUACCCCUUCCUUGUAUUUUUAAAAAGACUUUUAUACACUUAAGUCUAGUGAAAUGUGCAUUAAGUUUAUAGGAAUUGCUUGGAAACUA
This is a long non-coding RNA of Zea mays, 1382 nucleotides long. RefSeq lists it as uncharacterized. The transcript is spliced from 2 exons. NCBI's taxonomy places the organism in Eukaryota, Viridiplantae, Streptophyta, Magnoliopsida, Poales, Poaceae. The record is from RefSeq and is a predicted model, not a curated record.